GACGAACGCUGGCGGCGUGCUUAACACAUGCAAGUCGAACGGAAAGGCCCUGCUUUUGUGGGGUGCUCGAGUGGCGAACGGGUGAGUAACACGUGAGUAACCUGCCCUUGACUUUGGGAUAACUUCAGGAAACUGGGGCUAAUACCGGAUAGGAGCUCCUGCUGCAUGGUGGGGGUUGGAAAGUUUCGGCGGUUGGGGAUGGACUCGCGGCUUAUCAGCUUGUUGGUGGGGUAGUGGCUUACCAAGGCUUUGACGGGUAGCCGGCCUGGUAGGGUGACCGGCCACAUUGGGACUGGGCUACGACCCAGACUCCUACGGUAGGCAGCAGUGGGGAAUAUUGCACAAUGGGCGGAAGCCUGAUGCGGCACCGCCGCGUGCGGGAUGACGGCCUUCGGGUUGUAAACCGCUUUCGCCUGUGACGAAGCGUGAGUGACGGUAAUGGGUAAAUAAGCACCGGCUAACUACGUG
This 468-nucleotide ribosomal RNA is filed under the name uncultured bacterium. RNAcentral's name for it is "partial 16S ribosomal RNA". It matches the Rfam family "Bacterial small subunit ribosomal RNA", at positions 28 to 507 of the family's 1533-position model. The record is from RNAcentral.